RNAcentral lists this unclassified non-coding RNA (1747 nucleotides) under Gigantopelta aegis. RNAcentral describes it as "uncharacterized LOC121388846, transcript variant X2". The record is from RNAcentral. Lineage: Eukaryota; Metazoa; Mollusca; Gastropoda; Neomphalida; Peltospiridae.
CACAAAUAUCACAGAAUUUUACAGAUACUGAAUUUUACUCAAAACUUCAAUUUUGUGCUGUAUUGGCCAUUCUCAAAGAGAAUGUUACACCCCUGCACCACGGUGAGGUUACAGAACACGCAGGGGCGUAACAGGACGAGUCAUGUUGAUUAUCAAACCUCUUGAGACCUAUAAUAUGUUUAAUAUGCACACAGCUGCCCGUGGAAUGAUGCAGGUGGCCAGAUCUAGAUGUCAGGUAAUACAAGAGACUGCGUCAAAUACAAAUGAAACAGACUUGAACAUUCCAGAUAAUGUUUACCGUGAAUUAAUGAAAGAUGACUUCUGUGAUGAAAACAAAUCAAACAAUGUAACGAAAUUGAAAAAUUCAUCAGCCAGAAUGAAAAUGUUAAUACACUCGUCGAUCUUCGCUAUCAACGGAUAUCGUCAAAUACCUACUAUUCAAUUAGCAAGACGUAAAAGUAAAAAUAUUCCUGCAUUUUGAUUUAGUAAUCGAUGUUAUAACCUGGUAACCUUAUAUAGCAGCUUUAACUGUUGGAUUUCAAUAAACGAAGUAUAGUGUUUCGGAUCAAUGAACCUUCGGACUAUAGAGCGGUCCACGAUUUUUGCGUACACAAAACUGGUAUAAAUAAUGAUUUUCCGAAUAUUCCUGUAGGAUUGCAGGAUAAAAGAAAUAUCUCGUUACUGUCUAAGAUAUCGGCUUAUCCUGCUCAGGACGAAUGGCGAGUGCAGUGAGGCUCUGCCAAGCUGCAUUCACCAUUCUAACCUUCGUAGGAUACAGCCGAUAUCUUAAGACAGCAACCGGUUAUAUAUCGAAGUGUGUUAUGCCUGGAGACACGAAAGCGAGUCUGUUAAACAUUAUAUAUUUGGAUGCAUGUGAAUCCUUAAUUUCUUCCAGUGCAUGAAAGUGAGUGUAAAAAUAAGGUAUGUAGAUGCACAUGAAUCUUAAACUGUUCCAGGGCUUUAUUGAUUACCCAAAUUUCAGCAGUAAAAAACGAUGCUGAAUCGGGCAAUAGAAAUUAUUGUCCGAUAGAAAAACAAUGUAGCAGAAGCCACACAAUUCCCAUCCCGUGAUCCGUCUGUGUAAACAAGGAUAAAGACUAUACCAGUGAUUUGCCUCUGAUCACAUGUUGUCCAAAACAUGAAUAAGUAAAUAAGUAGAUAUAUUUUUGUCAUAAAGUCAUUAUACUGCCGUCGAAUAUUGAUGAACGUUUUCAUGGCACCACCUACAGAGGCUAUGUCAACACAAUGUUGUGCUUUUGCCGCGAAAUCAUGUUUAACAGAUGGUCAGUCACCUGUGCUGUGGCCACGAGUCAAUAAUAUAAUAAAUGAACAGACGUCAAUCCUAUUGAUAAAAACUGAAGACAACUUGGACACGUCUCAGAAGCUAGAGAGAACUCCGAUCACUCGACACUAGAGAUGUUGUCCAAGCUGUUUCUAUUCGCAGUCGUCCUAGGCGUGGUGGCCGUCGUCGCGCAGUAUCCGAACUGUACCUGUGAGCAACGAAAGGGCGAGAUGCAGAUGUUUUACCAGAUGAUGAUCAACUCGGUGAUCUCCACCAUGCAUUCCAUGCAGAACAAUAAUCAACAAAGUUUUUAUGGUGCUGCUGGUGGUCGGAAAUAGAUCCCACACAUGAAGAUCUGAAGAAGAGAAAUUCAUUCUGAGAAAAUACAUCCAAAAUGUAAAAAAUGCAAACGUUGUUUUCAUUAUGUAUCAAUUUUUCUGUAGAAGCAUAGAGACAAAAAUUAUA